This 253-nucleotide ribosomal RNA is filed under the name uncultured bacterium. Its description in RNAcentral is "partial 16S ribosomal RNA". It matches the Rfam family "Bacterial small subunit ribosomal RNA", at positions 524 to 776 of the family's 1533-position model. The record is from RNAcentral.
UACGAGGGGGGCAAGCGUUGUUCGGAAUUAUUGGGCGUAAAGGGCGCGUAGGCGGUGCGGUAAGUCUGAUGUGAAAUCUCCGGGCUCAACUGGGAGCUUGCAGGCGAAACUGCCGUGCUGGAGUGUGGGAGAGGUGCGUGGAAUUCCUGGUGUAGCGGUGAAAUUCUUAGAUAUUAGGAGGAACACCGGUGGCGAAAGCGAUCAUCUGGGCUACAACUGACACUGAGACGCGAAAGCGUGGGGAGCAAACAGG